GAUGAACGCUGGCGGCGUGCCUAAUACAUGCAAGUCGAGCGAACGGACGAGAAGCUUGCUUCUCUGAUGUUAGCGGCGGACGGGUGAGUAACACGUGGAUAACCUACCUAUAAGACUGGGAUAACUUCGGGAAACCGGAGCUAAUACCGGAUGAUAUUUUGAACCGCAUGGUUCAAAAGUGAAAGACGGUCUUGCUGUCACUUAUAGAUGGAUCCGCGCUGCAUUAGCUAGUUGGUAAGGUAACGGCUUACCAAGGCAACGAUGCAUAGCCGACCUGAGAGGGUGAUCGGCCACACUGGAACUGAGACACGGUCCAGACUCCUACGGGAGGCAGCAGUAGGGAAUCUUCCGCAAUGGGCGAAAGCCUGACGGAGCAACGCCGCGUGAGUGAUGAAGGUCUUCGGAUCGUAAAACUCUGUUAUUAGGGAAGAACAUAUGUGUAAGUAACUGUGCACAUCUUGACGGUACCUAAUCAGAAAGCCACGGCUAACUACGUGCCAGCAGCCGCGGUAAUACGUAGGUGGCAAGCGUUAUCCGGAAUUAUUGGGCGUAAAGCGCGCGUAGGCGGUUUUUUAAGUCUGAUGUGAAAGCCCACGGCUCAACCGUGGAGGGUCAUUGGAAACUGGAAAACUUGAGUGCAGAAGAGGAAAGUGGAAUUCCAUGUGUAGCGGUGAAAUGCGCAGAGAUAUGGAGGAACACCAGUGGCGAAGGCGACUUUCUGGUCUGUAACUGACGCUGAUGUGCGAAAGCGUGGGGAUCAAACAGGAUUAGAUACCCUGGUAGUCCACGCCGUAAACGAUGAGUGCUAAGUGUUAGGGGGUUUCCGCCCCUUAGUGCUGCAGCUAACGCAUUAAGCACUCCGCCUGGGGAGUACGACCGCAAGGUUGAAACUCAAAGGAAUUGACGGGGACCCGCACAAGCGGUGGAGCAUGUGGUUUAAUUCGAAGCAACGCGAAGAACCUUACCAAAUCUUGACAUCCUUUGACAACUCUAGAGAUAGAGCCUUCCCCUUCGGGGGACAAAGUGACAGGUGGUGCAUGGUUGUCGUCAGCUCGUGUCGUGAGAUGUUGGGUUAAGUCCCGCAACGAGCGCAACCCUUAAGCUUAGUUGCCAUCAUUAAGUUGGGCACUCUAAGUUGACUGCCGGUGACAAACCGGAGGAAGGUGGGGAUGACGUCAAAUCAUCAUGCCCCUUAUGAUUUGGGCUACACACGUGCUACAAUGGACAAUACAAGGGGCAGCGAAACCGCGAGGUCAAGCAAAUCCCAUAAAGUUGUUCUCAGUUCGGAUUGUAGUCUGCAACUCGACUACAUGAAGCUGGAAUCGCUAGUAAUCGUAGAUCAGCAUGCUACGGUGAAUACGUUCCCGGGUCU
Molecule: ribosomal RNA, 1372 nt
Filed under: uncultured bacterium
Lineage: Bacteria
Description: bacterial SSU rRNA
Rfam family: Bacterial small subunit ribosomal RNA
Source: RNAcentral